UUUUUUAGUAUGGCAUCACUCUGAUCAUGUAACAACGGGUUGAGAACAUUUUUUUUUCAUUUUUUUUGUUUUGUUUUAUUGAAUUUACGAUUUAUGUUUUGUCGAGAUAUCAAAGUCUGGAAAGAUGAACAACAUGACUCCUUUUGGUUGCGUUACAAAAGUUGAAGUUCAUGAGACUAAAUGUCAUGGGUUGUAAUAUUGUGUUUAUUUAAUUUAACAAUGUUUCUCUAAAUUGUUAUGUUAUAACCCG
Molecule: long non-coding RNA, 250 nt
Filed under: Lathyrus oleraceus (garden pea)
Lineage: Eukaryota; Viridiplantae; Streptophyta; Magnoliopsida; Fabales; Fabaceae
Description: Pisum sativum (pea) long non-coding RNA (PSAT_LNC016498)
Source: RNAcentral